UGGGGAAUCUUCCGCAAUGGACGAAAGUCUGACGGAGCAACGCCGCGUGAGUGAUGACAGCCUUCGGGUUGUAAAGCUCUGUUAAUCGGGACGAAUGGUUCUUGUGCGAAUAGUGCGAGGAUUUGACGGUACCGGAAUAGAAAGCCACGGCUAACUACGUGCCAGCAGCCGCGGUAAUACGUAGGUGGCAAGCGUUGUCCGGAAUUAUUGGGCGUAAAGCGCGCGCAGGCGGAUUGGUCAGUCUGUCUUAAAAGUUCGGGGCUUAACCCCGUGAUGGGAUGGAAACUGCCAAUCUAGAGUAUCGGAGAGGAAAGUGGAAUUCCUAGUGUAGCGGUGAAAUGCGUAGAUAUUAGGAAGAACACCAGUGGCGAAGGCGACUUUCUGGACGAAAACUGACGCUGAGGCGCGAAAGCCAGGGGAGCGAACGGGAUUAGAUACCCCGGUAGUCCUGGCCGUAAACGAUGGGUACUAGGUGUAGGAGGUAUCGACCCCUUCUGUGCCGGAGUUAACGCAAUAAGUACCCCGCCUGGGGAGUACGACCGCAAGGUUG
RNAcentral lists this ribosomal RNA (550 nucleotides) under uncultured bacterium. RNAcentral's name for it is "bacterial SSU rRNA". It matches the Rfam family "Bacterial small subunit ribosomal RNA", at positions 355 to 896 of the family's 1533-position model. The record is from RNAcentral.